This 403-nucleotide ribosomal RNA is filed under the name uncultured bacterium. RNAcentral's name for it is "partial 16S ribosomal RNA". It matches the Rfam family "Bacterial small subunit ribosomal RNA", at positions 28 to 526 of the family's 1533-position model. The record is from RNAcentral.
GACGAACGCUGGCGGCGUGCCUAAUACAUGCAAGUCGAACGCAGUGGGGCCGGGUGAGUCACACGUGGGUAACCUCCCAUCAGAGGGGAUAACACUUGGAAACAGGUGCUAAUCCGAUCCUGAUGGAUGGAACCGCGGUGCAUUAGCCAGUUGGAGAGGGAACGGCUCACCAAGGCCACGAGGCAUAGCCGACCUGAGAGGGGGAUCGGCCACACUGGGACAGAGACACGGCCCAGACGCCGACGGGAGGCAGCAGAAGGGAAUCUUCGGCAAUGGACGAAAGUCUGACAGAGAAACGCCGCGUGAGUGAAGAAGGUUUGCGGAUCGUAAAACUCUGUUGUUAGAGAAGCGGUAUCUAACCAAAAAGCCACGGCGAACGACGUGCCAGCAGCCGCGGUAAUUC